Molecule: long non-coding RNA, 1642 nt
Filed under: Coturnix japonica (Japanese quail)
Lineage: Eukaryota; Metazoa; Chordata; Aves; Galliformes; Phasianidae
Description: lncRNA (ENSCJPG00005001932.1)
Source: RNAcentral
CCAUGAUCUGCAGCUUCAUGUCUCAUGGAGCAUCCCUUGUCAUGUUUUUCUCCAGCCUCUCUCACAAGGAGAACCGAGUCGGGCCCAUGCUCACCAAGACCAGCAGAACUCUGUUCCUGCACCUUGUGCUGGCCAGCUGAGCAUGUGCAGCACUACUGAAUGGAUGACUUCAGAAACUGCUUGACCCCAUGCUUCACCUGACAGCUGAGCUUCCCUACAUGGUCCCAAGUUUCAGAGGCACUCAAGUGGGGUGCAAAAGGAAAAGUGAUGUAGAAUGAAAACUGGAAGAAUUUCCAAGGAAAGAAAGAGUCACAGAGCCUGCAGAUGAAGACAUACCUACGUGUUAAUGAGAGACAUCUGACCAGCAGUGAUCUUGUUAGAGAGCGGUGUAGACGAGCAGUACUCCUCAAAUGCUCAAAUGUCAGGAGAGUUUGGAUUCAUCACCAAUCCCUCUGCCCGGAGACCCAGAUCAGAAGUGAUUUCAUUCAUGAAGCCUCUCUGCCAGAGCUCGUUAGUGAAAUCUAUGCACACUGUCUUGCCCGCAGGCACCUUCUCCCUUUUCUGAAUUACGACAUGUCUAAGUUUUGCAUUUUGGAUCUGUUUGCCAUCUAUGAUAGUGAGGAGUCAUAUAUUCUACAGUGACAAACAGCAGACGGCGGAAAGAUAUUUUAAAAGUUUUCAUUUGGCUUCAAUGAGGAUAUAUCUGCCAGUUCAUGGAGGUCAGGACAGUUUGUUCUUACAGAUUGGUCUGGAAUAAGAUGUGUAUUGUAAUGGUUAGGCACAGCCUCUGACAGGACAAAUCAGUAGUGACUUCUGACAUCCAGAAACAGGGUAAUGAAGUUAAUUGCAGGUAUUUUCUCAACAGUAGAAAAGCUUUAAUUUAAAAGUAUACUGGAGGAAAUUCUGCUUGGUUUUGAUCAGGAAUACUACAAAACAAUCUUCUAAUCUGAUAACAUCAUUUGUUUUAGCCAGCUUAGACUCUUCUCUGACUUUCUGGAAGGGCUAUGCAAAGUCUCUCAUCUUUUCCCAGGCUUUCUUCUCUUUCAUCUACAAUCCACCAGUCUCUUCACUUGAUUCCAUUCUCCCAGCUGCACACUCUUAAGUUUACGUUUGAUUUUGGUGCCUCCAGGCUGUGGGAUAGAUGGUAAGCACAGCACCAGCAGUGGAGAGCUGAGUCUCUUGACCUUUUCAGUAGCCCUCUGUUUGAUGGGAUGAAGCAGCAGAUGACAGAAGCAGGACUACCUGGAUGAAAAUUGAGAGCAGCUCUGUUUAUUCUAACUAUGAAUUCUAUGUGGCAGCUUAAAAUUUCUCUCCACUAGCAGCUGCCUUUCACUAGAUUUGAUUGUUGUUUGAUUGGUUGAAUCUGACUGUUAUUUGUUUUCCUCCUAAUUUCUAUGUCACUGAGUGUACACAUCACACACCACUAACAGAUAUUUUGAUGUUUACUCUUUCUGUCCCCCCAAAGUCACAGAUAGAAGCAGCAUUGACGGAGGGGUAGGAGUGGCCCAUAGAAACCUGUUGGAAAUGCUCUAGAAGGUGAGGACUUCAGAAAUUUAACAUACAGUGUGAACAGCAGGCAUUUAGUAAUUUUUGCUGGGGAACAAGGCUACUUUUGAUUUAAUUCUGUCCCAUGAACCUCAGA